CAGCAGCCACGGUAAUACGAAGGGGGCUAGCGUUGCUCGGAAUUACUGGGCGUAAAGGGAACGUAGGCGGACAUUUAAGUCAGGGGUGAAAUCCCAGAGCUCAACUCUGGAACUGCCCUUGAUACUGGGUGUCUUGAGUGUGAUAGAGGUAUGUGGAACUCCGAGUGUAGAGGUGAAAUUCGUAGAUAUUCGGAAGAACACCAGUGGCGAAGGCGACAUACUGGAUCAUUACUGACGCUGAGGCUCGAAAGCGUGGGGAGCAAACAGGAUUAGAUACCCCUGUAGUCCCUGUCUCUUAUAC
RNAcentral lists this ribosomal RNA (301 nucleotides) under uncultured bacterium. Its description in RNAcentral is "partial 16S ribosomal RNA". It matches the Rfam family "Bacterial small subunit ribosomal RNA", at positions 509 to 807 of the family's 1533-position model. The record is from RNAcentral.